RNAcentral lists this ribosomal RNA (205 nucleotides) under Clostridioides difficile. Its description in RNAcentral is "partial 16S ribosomal RNA". It matches the Rfam family "Bacterial small subunit ribosomal RNA", at positions 82 to 287 of the family's 1533-position model. Lineage: Bacteria; Bacillati; Bacillota; Clostridia; Peptostreptococcales; Peptostreptococcaceae. The record is from RNAcentral.
ACUUCGGUAAAGAGCGGCGGACGGGUGAGUAACGCGUGGGUAACCUACCCUGUACACACGGAUAACAUACCGAAAGGUAUGCUAAUACGGGAUAAUAUAUUUAAGAGGCAUCUCUUGAAUAUCAAAGGUGAGCCAGUACAGGAUGGACCCGCGUCUGAUUAGCUAGUUGGUAAGGUAACGGCUUACCAAGGCGACGAUCAGUAGC